CUACUGAAUCAACAUUUCAGUCAGGGAUCCACAGGCUGAAUUGUUUUUGGAGAACUGCUGGGCAACCUAUUCUGCUGACAGGAAUAGCUCUCCCAAGUGGGAUGUUGUUUUGGACAGCUGUGAGAACUCUGCAGAUGAGUACUUGACCAUCUUUCACCCAGUCUCCAGCAAUGCAAGAGUGCUGUUCCCUUCCCAUGUGAAGAGGUUUGAAGUGAAAAUGUUUUCCUUCACAAGCGGCCGGGAUGCACUGAAAGGACAGAUUUACUUCCACUGCAGUGUUGUGAUAUGUGAUUCAAACCAGCCAUCAGACAGCCUCUGUAGCAGACGGUGCAUUCCAGGGAAACAGAGGCUUGGUCGCACUGCUGAAGGGAUGGAUGGUGGUGCAGUAAAGGCAUUUGUGUCUUCUGGCCCAAUUGAGCUGAAGAGAGAUGGAUCCCUUCACUUUAUGCCUAG
This is a long non-coding RNA of Acipenser ruthenus (sterlet), 453 nucleotides long. RefSeq lists it as uncharacterized. The transcript has 4 exons. Lineage: Eukaryota; Metazoa; Chordata; Actinopteri; Acipenseriformes; Acipenseridae. The record is from RefSeq and is a predicted model, not a curated record.